UAUUAAAUAUUUCAUUCAUUUCUAUUGUUAAAAACUAAUAUAGCCAAUAGAAUAACCAUACAGUUAUAAAUGGCGUGCCACAUGUAUCUCAUUCUGAUGUGCAAUGAUCAGUUUUUAACAGUAGAAAUAGAUGAAAUUUUUAACG
This is a non-coding RNA of Gossypium hirsutum (cotton), 145 nucleotides long. The record is from Rfam. Lineage: Eukaryota; Viridiplantae; Streptophyta; Magnoliopsida; Malvales; Malvaceae.